This 436-nucleotide ribosomal RNA is filed under the name uncultured Saccharofermentans sp. RNAcentral's name for it is "partial 16S ribosomal RNA". It matches the Rfam family "Bacterial small subunit ribosomal RNA", at positions 341 to 792 of the family's 1533-position model. Lineage: Bacteria; Bacillati; Bacillota; Clostridia; Eubacteriales; Oscillospiraceae. The record is from RNAcentral.
ACGGAAGGCAGCAGUGGGGAAUGUUGGGCAAUGGGCGCAAGCCUGACCCAGCAACGCCGCGUGAAGGAUGAAGGUCUUCGGAUUGUAAACUUCUUUAAUCGGGGAAGAAGAAAAUGACCUACCCGAAGAAUAAGCCACGGCUAACUACGUGCCAGCAGCCGCGGUAAUACGUAGGUGGCAAGCGUUAUCCGGAUUUACUGGGUGUAAAGGGCGUGUAGGCGGCUCUGCAAGUCAGAAGUGAAAUUCCCGGGCUCAACCUGGGCGCUGCUUCUGAAACUGCAGAACUUGAGUACUGGAGGGGAAAGCGGAAUUCCUAGUGUAGCGGUGAAAUGCGUAGAUAUUAGGAGGAACACCAGUGGCGAAGGCGGCUUACUGGACUGACAAUGACGCUGAGGCUCGAAAGCGUGGGGAGCAAACAGGAUUAGAUACCCUGGUA